GCGAGUCUGGCCGAGUGGUUAAGGCGUUGUGUUUAGGUCAAACCCACAAAGGGUACACGCUUGAACCGCAAUGGGCAUCGCCCGCGUAGGUUCGAUCCCUACGGCUCGCA
This 110-nucleotide transfer RNA is filed under the name Pochonia chlamydosporia 170. RNAcentral describes it as "tRNA-Leu". It matches the Rfam family "tRNA". From Rfam's summary of the family: Transfer RNA (tRNA) molecules are approximately 80 nucleotides in length. The record is from RNAcentral. Lineage: Eukaryota; Fungi; Ascomycota; Sordariomycetes; Hypocreales; Clavicipitaceae.